This is a long non-coding RNA of Larimichthys crocea (large yellow croaker), 416 nucleotides long. RefSeq lists it as uncharacterized. Lineage: Eukaryota; Metazoa; Chordata; Actinopteri; Sciaenidae. The transcript has 3 exons. The record is from RefSeq and is a predicted model, not a curated record.
UAAGUGUAAGCUGACUUCUUCUUUCUCACUUCCUCUUAUCAGAGGAGCUGUAGAUUAUCAGAAACUUCCUGCAUGUCAUCACUUAGCAUAUUUACUGCAGACUGUUUGGAUGCAGAGGACGACACAUCAGACGCUGGUGUAGUGAACUCAUUCAGGUGUUGCAGCUUUCAAAGGUUUCACUGUGAAGGAUGGAAGAUUUACACAUGAACAACACCUCACAGGACAACAGCUCUGAUUACAGCAACAACACCAACAACUAUGAUGAUGAUCAUGAACAUGUGAAGUUUAUCAUCAUCGUGGUUGAAUGCGCAGUCAUUGGUGUCGGCCUUCCUUUGACCCUCGUGGCCAUCUAUGCUCUUUUUUCUCAGGUGAGAAAUGGUCAAGUUGCUCCGAUCUACGUCAUCAACCUUCUCAUC